GCAUACUGGAAAGUGUGCUUGGAAACAAAAGUGUAGCUUAAAUUAAAGCAUCCGGCUUACACCC
This 64-nucleotide transfer RNA is filed under the name Cavia porcellus (domestic guinea pig). RNAcentral describes it as "transfer RNA-Val". The record is from RNAcentral. Lineage: Eukaryota; Metazoa; Chordata; Mammalia; Rodentia; Caviidae.